Molecule: long non-coding RNA, 218 nt
Filed under: Elaeis guineensis (African oil palm)
Lineage: Eukaryota; Viridiplantae; Streptophyta; Magnoliopsida; Arecales; Arecaceae
Description: long non-coding RNA (EGUI_LNC033690)
Source: RNAcentral
CCAUCUUGAUCUUGAAUUUUCUUCUAGAAUCUGAUUUUCUCUCCCUACCUUCUCUAUCUACCUUCUCUCUCUAUGAUUUUUUCUUUAUAAAAUUUUUUCUCUCUAGAUUGUUUUACUUAUUAAGGGUUUUCAAGAUUUUUAAAAAGAUUGAUAAUGAUUUUGAAUGACCCUAGUGAAGGAGUCCUGAUCUAUGAUUAUCGGAUAGCGUGCCUACAUCC